GUGAUUUUAAAGUCUAGAUGAUUCGGAUUAACCCUUUAACUGCCAUAUCAAGUUCAAGUUCAAGUUCAAGUUCAAUUUAUUUGUAUAGCGCAUUUACAACAGCCUCCUGGCUGACCAAAGUGCUUUAACAUAAGAGCAAGAAUAUUACACAUACAUAAAAAUAGACCAGACAAAAAAUUUAAAACCACCCAUUUCAAAAUGUAGCAUAACACAGUAGUCAGUACACUAAGGAAAAUAAAAAAGUUUUAGCAAAGAUUUAAAAAUAGACAAGGAAGGGGCCAGUCUGAUCUCUAAAGGCAGGGUAUUCCAGAGUCGUGGCCCAGCCACUGCAAAUGCACGCUCCCCUCUACGCUCCCCUCUAUCCUUUAAAACCUCACUGCCAGAGGGAUAUUGUGAAUGCAUGUGCCCGCUGGGCACAGUUUACCUGAUGCCACCGGGGUGGUGAUGGCAUUGGUGGCUUGAGCCCGCCAUCGCUGCUUGCAGCUAUAUUUAUUAUUAGGGCUCAAGCCUGGAGGGCGAGAGCCCUAUUGUUUUCCUUAGGAUUAUUUGUUAUUAUUAUUAUUAUUAUUAUUAGGGCUCAAGCCCAAAGGGCGAGAGGCCUAUUGUUUUCCUUAGGAUUAUUUUUUAUUAUUAUUAUUAUUAUUAUUAGGGCUCAAGCCCAAAGGGCGAGAGGCCUAUUGUUUUCCUUAGGAUUAUUUUUUAUUAUUAUUAUUAUUAUUAUUAUUAUUUUUUUUUUCCAACGUCUCGGGGGCUUUUGGGGCCCUUAACAUGCUUAAAAAGUCUUGAAAAUUGGCACACACAUUGGAACCUGCGGCCAUUAGGGCCGGGCAGAGACUGAUACACGGGCGUGGCACAGGGGCUCUACAGCGCCCCCUGGAAUAUGGAGGGCCAUAUAUCAUACAUUCUUGCUCGUAGACGUAUGAAACUCGGUACACAUAUAAAUCUCAUCAAUCCAAACAACUUUUGUAUUGCAUAUCAUAGGCUCCGCCCAACAGGAAGUUGGCUAUUUAGGGUUUAGUAUUCAAAUUUUUCGUCAAAGUUGUGGGGGCUUUGGGGGUCCUUAACAUACUCAAAAACUCUUGAAAGUUUGCGCACACUUUGGAAUCUGUGGCCUUUAGGAGCCUGCAGAGGCUGGGACCCGGGCGUGGCACAGGGGCUCUAUGGCGCCCCCUGGAACACAGUCAUAAAUGUUGAUGUAUAGCUCACACAUACUUGCACAUAUUCAUAUGAAACUCAGUACACAUAUAGAUCUCAUCGUGCUGAACAACUUUCGUAUUGCAUGUCAUAGGCUCCACCCAACAGGAAGUCAGCUAUUUAGAGUUAUGUAAAAAGCGCAUGCUCUGGAAUUUGAAAUACUUGUCAUAGGUUUUUUUCUCGAUUGCCGCCAAACUCGGUCAACAUGAUCUCAAGACACUGGGGAUGAAAAAUUGCCAGGGGAUUUUUGAUAUCUCGAACGGUUUGCUCGUGGCGAGGUGUUGAAAUUAUGGCGAGAAAUUAGAAACAGGAAGUGUCUAAUACCAUCCACAUACAUUUCCUGAUUUUAAUCAAACUUCAUCAGAUUAUUCGUUGUAUGAUGUCGAUCGCAUAUAUGUGACUAUUAGGAGUCAAAGUUAUAGCGCCACCAACUGGCAGAAGGAAGUGUGUCAUUUUCAAAAUGAUUUGAAUUCAGCAUCUUAUUAUUACUCGAUUUGCUUCAAACUUCAUCAGAAUAAUGUUAAAACACAGCUGAUAUAAAUCUGCAAGGGGGAUAUUGAUAUCUAAAAAAUUGUUGCCGUGGCAACAUGUCAAACUGGAAUACUUCUCAGGUGAUUUUGAGGCAAAUAACAUACUUAGAAUUUCAUCAAACUCAGAACACAUAUCAGUAUUUCUGAUAGGAACUUAAAUUGUGAAUGGAUUUUGGAUAGCUUGAAUGGUUUUGCCGUGGUGAUUUUUUUAAAUGACCUUACAAAGGGAAUCAUUAUUGUAUUUUUAAAUUGCAGCUUCCAAACACGUCAAAGAAUUUUUUCAUACAGAUGAAAAAGUCAUUCUGAGGAAAUAUGCAUAGUUUCACGACUUUACAACACUGUAUGGAUAACAGAAAAUUAAAAAAAACUGUCAGACAUCUCAUCUCACUCUGUCCCUCAGUUUGAGUAUAUGUGCUUCAGACUUCC
Carassius gibelio (silver crucian carp) is the source of this 2150-nucleotide long non-coding RNA. RefSeq lists it as uncharacterized. The record is from RefSeq and is a predicted model, not a curated record. NCBI's taxonomy places the organism in Eukaryota, Metazoa, Chordata, Actinopteri, Cypriniformes, Cyprinidae. The transcript is spliced from 3 exons.